Podarcis raffonei (Aeolian wall lizard) is the source of this 4621-nucleotide RNA transcript. It is a transcript of the gene named zinc finger protein 665-like, with no coding region annotated. NCBI's taxonomy places the organism in Eukaryota, Metazoa, Chordata, Lepidosauria, Squamata, Lacertidae. The transcript is spliced from 7 exons. The record is from RefSeq and is a predicted model, not a curated record.
CCUUUCCUGCAAGAAGUCGGGCGUGUGGGGGUCCCGUUGGUUCGGCUCUGCAGAGGCUGCCUGGGGGCGCCUGCUGGGAUCCGAAUUUGCAAGGAUCUCUAAUUCAGACAGACAGAACUUGGCAGAAGAUCAAGGGAUUCCUUCAUCUCUCUUGCAGGCUUCCUGAGAGCACAGAUGGAUGAGGAAAACUCAGCUGGCCCUGAAGCAGGAAGAUGCCAUGCCAUCAGAACUGGGAGCAGUGGGGGAUUCUGGGAAAAAACUGUGCAGAAGAUCCUGGGUGAGGAGGACACUCUCCGCUCAGAGGCGCAGAGCCAGCAGUUCAGGCAGUUCUGCUUCCAGGAGGCCAAAGGACCUCGAGAGGUUUGCAGCCGACUCUACAACCUUUACCAUCAAUGGCUGAAGCCAGAAAGGCACACGAAAGCUGAGAUGCUGGACCUGGUGAUCUUGGAGCAGUUCCUGGCCGUCCUUCCACCGGAGAUGGAGAGCUGGGUGAGGGAAUGCGGAGCAGAGACCAGUUCCCAGGCGGUGGCCCUGGCUGAAGGUUUCCUCCUGAGUCAGGCAGAGGAGAGAAAGCAGGCAGAGCAGCAGAGACAGGAUCUGUUUGCAGAAAUGGGCCCAGAUUCCUCUGAGACCAAAAGGACUCUGUUGAACACCAGAGAGAGGCUGCUGGGUGACCAGAUGAUGCCAGGAAGACCUCCUCUUCCAUCUAUUCCUGGUGGGGAAGGAGAAGCAACGGCUGUGGAAGCAGCUCAGGGUCCAGUGUGCUUUGAAGAUGUCGCUGUUCAUUUCACAGAUGAGGAAUGGGCGUUGCUGGAUCCUGACCAGAGAGCUCUGCAUAAGGAAGUCAUGGAGGAGAAUUGUGGGAUCGUGGCCUCUCUCAGUGGUGAUGAUUUGGAAAUUGAGAGCGAGGACGCCCAUGACAGAAUGCACACAGUGGAGAAGCCAUUGCCAUUCUUGGAGUGUGGAGAGAGCUUCAGUCACAGCUCCCAUUCGACUACCCACCAAAGAAAUGCUAUUGGGAAGAAACCCUCUCAGUUCUCUGAAUGGGGGAAAGCUUUCUGUUGGAAUGAAAGCCUCACUUCACAAGAAAUAAUUCCCACAGGGGAAGACCCACUGAAAUGCUUGGAAUGUGGAAAGAGCUUCAGUAAGAGUGCACAUCUCAUUUCGCAUCAAAUAAUUCAUACAGGCAAGAAACCCUAUCAGUGCUUGGAAUGUAGGAAAAGCUUUAAUACAAGCAAAACCUUCCGUAAACACCAGAGAAUUCACAGGAGGGAGAAGCCAUUUGAAUGCCGAGAGUGUGGAAAGAGCUUCAGUCAGAGAACCCAUCUCACAGCCCAUCAAAUAAUUCAUACAGGUGAGAAACCCUAUCAGUGCUCGGAAUGUGGGCGGAGCUUCAAUCACAGGACGACUCUCACGGUCCAUCAAAGGAUUCACAGUGGUGAGAAACCCUAUCAGUGCUCAGAAUGUGGGAAGAGUUUCACUGUGAGCUCCCAUCUCACUUCCCACCAAAGAAUUCAUACCGGGGAGAAACCAUAUCAGUGUGUGAAUUGUGGAAAGGGCUUCACCCAAAAGGCAAGUCUCACUUCCCAUCAAAGAAUUCACAGUGGUGAAAAACCUUAUCAAUGCAUGGAAUGUGGGAAGAGCUUCAGUCGGAAGCAAAGUCUCACUUCCCACCAAAGAAUUCACAGUGGUGAGAAACCCUAUCAGUGCUCGGAAUGUGGAAAGAGUUUCUCCCAGAGAGCCAAUCUCAGUUCCCACCAAAGAAUUCACACAGGUGAAAAACCCUAUCAGUGCUUGGAAUGUGGAAAGAACUUCAGUCUCAGGGCCCAUCUUGCUACCCAUCAAAGCAUUCAUACCGGGGAGAAACCCUAUCGAUGCUUGGAUUGUGGAAAGAGUUUCCUACAGAGAGCCGAUCUCACUUCUCACCAAAGAAUUCACACAGGGGAGAAACCCUAUCAGUGCUUGGAAUGCGGAAAGAGUUUCUGCCAGAGAGCCAAUCUCACUUCUCACCAAAGAAUUCACACAGGGGAGAAACCCUAUAAGUGCUUGGAAUGUGGGAAGAGCUUCAGUCUGAAGCAAAGUCUCCCUUCCCAUCAAAGCAUUCAUACCGGGGAGAAACCCUAUCGAUGCUUGGAUUGUGGAAAGAGUUUCUGCCAGAGAGCCGAUCUCACUUCCCACCAAAGAAUUCACACAGGAGAGAAACCCUAUCAGUGCUUGGAAUGUGGGAAGAGUUUCCGCCAGAAAGUCAACCUCACGUCCCACCAAAGAAUUCACACAGGGGAGAAACCCUAUAAGUGCUUGGAAUGUGGGAAGAGUUUCCACCAGAAAGUCAACCUCACGUCCCACCAAAGAAUUCACACAGGGGAGAAACCCUAUAAGUGCUUGGAAUGUGGAAAGAGCUUCAGUCAUAAGCAAAGUCUCCCUUCCCAUCAAAGAAUUCACAGUGGUGAGAAACCUUAUCAGUGCUUGGAAUGUGGAAAGGGCUUUGGUAAGAGGACCAAGCUCAUGGCCCAUGGACGAACUCACAGUGGUGAGAAACCCUAUCAAUGCUUGGAUUGUGGAAAGAGUUUCAGCCAAAGGGCCAAUCUAACUUGCCAUGAAAGAAUUCACACAGGGGAGAAACCAUAUCACUGCUUGGAAUGUGGGAAGAGCUUCAACCAGAAGCAAAGUCUCACUUCCCACCAAAGAAUUCACACAGGGGAGAAACCUUAUCAGUGCUUGGAAUGUGGAAAGAGCUUUGGUAAGAGGACCAAGCUCAUGGCUCACCAAAGAAUUCACAGUGGUGAGAAACCCUAUCAAUGUGUGAAAUGUGGAAAGAGUUUCUGCCAGAAAGCCCAUCUCACUUCCCACCAAAGAAUUCACACAGGGGAGAAACCAUAUCAGUGCUUGGAAUGUGGGAAGAGCUUCAGUAAGAGGACCAACCUCACUUCCCACCAAAGAAUUCACAGUGGUGAGAAACCAUAUCAGUGCUUGGAAUGUGGAAAGAGCUUCAGUAAGAGGACCAACCUCAUGGCCCAUCAAAGAACCCACACUGGGGAGAAACCCUAUCAGUGCUUGGAAUGUGGGAAGAGCUUCACCCGGAAGGACAACCUCACUUCCCACCAAAGAAUUCACAGUGGUGAGAAACCAUAUCAGUGCUUGGAAUGUGGAAAGAGCUUCGGUAAGAGGACCAAGCUCAUGGCCCAUCAAAGAGUUCAUACAGGGGAGAAUCAUAGAAUUUUAGACCUGCAGGAGACUUCUGGGUCGUCUAGUCCACUGCAGGACUCUCAACUAAAGCUUCUAUGACAUACUGCCUUCAAACUUCUCCUUACAAACCUCCAAGGAAGGAGAGUACACAAGCUACCAAGGGUGUCUCUAAUCUGAAGCCAUUGAUUUGUGUGCCAGCCUCCAGAGCCGGUGAAAACAAGCUUGUUCAAGCUUCCACGUGACAGCCCUUCCUGUUCCUCAGAAGGCUUGGUUUCCCAACGCUUAAUUGUCUUGCUCACCCCCCUCUGCACACCUUCCAGCUUGUCAAAAUCCUUCUUAAAUUGGGGCACCCAGAACUGGACACAGGACUCCAGGUGUGGUCUGAACAAGGCAGAAGAAAGUGGGGCUAUUACUUUUCUUGAUCUGGACACUUGACUUCUUUGGACGCAGCCUAGAAUAACAGCCUAUUUCGCUGAUGUUGACUCAUGUUAGUCUUGUGGUCCACUAAGACCCCAGGUCUUUUCCACAUGUACUACUGACAAGCCUGGUAUGUCCCAUCUUAUAUUUGUGCACCUGAUUCGUCUUGCCUAAGAGCAGAAUCUUACCUUUCUUCUUAGCGAAAUUUAUUGGAUGCCUUUCUAUACCACCUGUUUCUUCAAGAAGCUCAGUGUGGUCUUAAGUCAUUCUCCCCCUCAUCGUUUAAUCCUGACAACAACCCUGUGAGGUAGGUUGGGCUGUGAAGCCAUCACCCAGUGACUGAGUGGAGAUUGGAACCCAGGUCUCCCAGUUCCUAGUCCAAAACUCUUAAGCACUGCACCCCACUGACUCUCGAAUGAGACUCUUGGAAAGUGCAUGCAUGCACAUUUACUGAAAGUUUCAGUGCAAUGUCUUGGUGUUUGUAUUUAAAGUUUUAUACGCAUGUAUCAAUGACAUUAAUAUAAUAAUGGUAAUUACAGUAGAAGAGUAAAUUUUAGGAAAUGCUAGAUGGUGAUAGGGGUAGUUUGGAGUUCGGAAUGCUGGGAUUGAGCAAUUGAACUGAACAAUUUCCACAUAAAUCACAAGAUCUAAAAUAUAAAAACAAAACACCAACAGCAACAACCCCCCCAAAAAACCCCAAAUUCAAGAGUCUGUUCAGCAGCCUCAGCUUUUGCAGCUGGAGUCAAUCCAGGCUCUGCCCUCCCAGGCUAGGUGGAAAAGGUCUCUAAGGAGAGAGCCCGUCUUCUGGGACUUGCAGCCAAGAUGGUUGGCUGCCACCAUUGGAGGGUGGAAUGGAAUGGGACGGUGGUGGCAAUUGUGGAGCAGGGUUGUAGAGAGAAACAGCAUUAUAAUCCCCGUUGUUGCAGCUGUAGCAAAGUUUCAAAAGAAAAAGAAAAGAAAUGAGAACAUUUGAAACCACAUGUUUAUGUCUAUUUUUAAAAGAAAUCAGUUUAAUGAA